GUUGGUUUGUAUUUGAAUGUUCUUCGACUAAAUAUGUGAGCAAGCUUGUGGACUUGUAUAAGGGAAGUUCGGAGGAAUGGUCGCAGAAGGCGAUAGAGCUUGAGGGAAUCAUCAAGGCUUUAGAACUACCAAGGGAAUAUGUAUGAGGUGGCAACGAGGAGGAAUGAUACAGCUGUGUUGGUGGCUGGGACUUUGGAAACAACGAAACAGAUGAUGAUUAAAGAAAGUAAAAAAGUCUUUGCAAAGUGAUAAUGGUGGUAAAAAGUUUUCUUGGCUUCCACUUUUCAUUUUAUUCAUUAGACAUAUUUCCUUUUAUGUGCAUGUAUUGUUAUCUUGAAAUCUUGAUAUCUUGAUAUUCAUCAUUUGUACCAUAGUGCCAAGGUACUUUUCUUUAGAUCUA
Molecule: long non-coding RNA, 400 nt
Organism: Sesamum indicum (sesame)
Lineage: Eukaryota; Viridiplantae; Streptophyta; Magnoliopsida; Lamiales; Pedaliaceae
Source: RefSeq, a predicted model, not a curated record